AGUCGGUGGCUUCCAGCGCACCAGCAGGUGGGACGAGGAAUUGGACGUGGAGAUGACAUCCUGGGGCACCGUGGGCGCUGGGGAUCCACUUUUAUCGGGACAGAGAACACCCACCAUGACCCAGGCACUGCCCUAACUAAGAAUUAUGGAAUAGCUCACGUAAGCCACCUCGGUUACCUAACUGUUCCGAGCCUCAGUUUCCUCAUCUGCAAACUGGGAAUAACAAAGAUGGCCUGCCUCACAGGACGGGUGAGAACGAAGGGGGUCCGUGCCGGCCGAGCGAGGACGCGCGCCGUCCUGUGGCCACCGGCCCGCCUGCCCCCACCCUUCCGGUGUCGUCCCCCCCCCCCCCCCCCGCCGCCCCGUCGUGUUCUGGGCCGGCGCCCACCUCGCUGGCAGUGGCUGGAGGUCCAGCAUCUGUAGUCGGUGUGCCCGCCAAAGGUGGUCCUGGCGCAGGGCUCGCCGCUGGCGCCCAGCACGCCGGGACACACGUCGGCGCACUCCUCGCCCAGCUUGUUGCCCACGAUGUGGUUGGCCCCGGGGGCCGGCUGCAGCAGGCCCCAGUCAAUGGUGGACAGGUGGCAGAGCUCCUGGUUCUUCUCGACGCGCACGGCCCCCCGCAGCACGGCCCCCAGCGCCGGCAGCCCCACGUCCCGCAGGUGCGGCAUCUCGUAGACGACCAGCGCAUAGCCCAGGAAGAGGCGGGCCCCGCGGACCACCGCCAGGUUGGGGAAGAGGUCCCGCAGGCUCUCCAGGCCGUAGACACGGAAGAGGAGCAGGUAGUCCGUGACCUGCGUGAGGCGCGGGAAGCUGAGGCCGCGGAAGUCCUCGCCGGUGGCCGUGAACAUGAGCAGGAUCUGCAGGUGGCCCUCCACCACGCUGCAGUUCUCCAGCCGGCGCAGCUCCGCCACCUCCGAGCGGAUAUCCAGGCUGGGGCACACUGUGGGCACAGGCGGCACGCGGCCGUCAGUGCGGCGUGGGCUGGGCUCCCCGUCGCGCCCUGGGGGACCCUCUGGGAGCGGGACACGGCGUGGGAGCAGGGCUCCGCCGUGGCGGUGGGGCGGCCUCCUCCCUGGGCCUCACAGGCCUCAUGGCGGCUUGAAGGACGGGCACCCGACGGGUCAGCGUGGGCCAGAGUGAGCUCCUCCCUCCCCAACCUGCUUCGUUCCUGCGGUGACGGUGACGGUGAAGAGUCCUUCCCUCCACGCCCCCACCCCCAGAGCCUGUGGGCUCCACCUGUAAAUGACAGCACAUCCAAUGCUCAGUCACCGCCUCCGCUGCUGGCACCGUGCCCUUCUCCUGGAUUGACAGCAGUGGCCUCCCAGAUGGCCCCCCACCUCCGCCCGCGUCCCCUCCCGGUCUCUUCACUCUAUAGCCAAAGGGAUCGUCUCAAAACAACUGGGGUGACCUUCCUGCGCUGCUCACAACCCCCUGGCGGCCCGCAUCUGAUUAAAAGCUCAAGUCCUUAGGGGGCUUGCAAGGCCUCUGCAGCCUCUCUGACUUCAACCCCUUUGCCUCUCUUCCUCAGCCGCACUGACUUUGUUUUGCUGGUUUUUCAAACAAGCCAGCCAAGCUUCUGCUCUGAGGUCUUUGCACAUUCUGUUCCCUCUGGCUAGAGUGCUGUUCCCUGUAUGCGGUCCUUCACCUUCUUUAAGUCUCUGCUCAGAUGUCACCUCCUCAAUGAGGACUUCUCUGACCAUCCCUUUAAACACUCCCUACCCCCCUUCCUACUUAACUUUUCUCCUUACAUCUUAACGUUGGCUAA
This is a long non-coding RNA of Panthera uncia (snow leopard), 1765 nucleotides long. RefSeq lists it as uncharacterized. The record is from RefSeq and is a predicted model, not a curated record. The transcript is spliced from 2 exons. Lineage: Eukaryota; Metazoa; Chordata; Mammalia; Carnivora; Felidae.